Molecule: ribosomal RNA, 330 nt
Filed under: Triticum aestivum (bread wheat)
Lineage: Eukaryota; Viridiplantae; Streptophyta; Magnoliopsida; Poales; Poaceae
Description: partial small subunit ribosomal RNA
Source: RNAcentral
AUGUCCGUGGAGCGCCUCAUCGCCCGUUCACUCCAACCCGCGCCGCCCACUCUGCCUCACCUCUCCAGCGGUCCGGCCGCAGAUGUCUCCUCCCUGAGCACAAAGUGGACGCACGUGGGGCGGCCACUGGUGAAGGAGACCGCGCGCGAGCCCGCGGCGCCCUCACCUCCUCGCCUCUCCGGCCACACCGGUCUCAUUCCUAAGCAUGAAUUGGGUGCAGGCAGGGCGGCCGCCGGCGUGCGAGUCCGCGGCGCGGUGGUGGAGCCCUCCGGCCCCUUCCGGUUCGAGGUCCGCAAAGGUCUCCUCCCUGGCGUUGUUGGCCUUAUCUGA